GACGAACGCUGGCGGCGUGCUUAACACAUGCAAGUCGAACGGAAAGGCCCUGCUUUUGUGGGGUGCUCGAGUGGCGAACGGGUGAGUAACACGUGAGUAACCUGCCCUUGACUUUGGGAUAACUUCAGGAAACUGGGGCUAAUACCGGAUAGGAGCUCCUGCUGCAUGGUGGGGGUUGGAAAGUUUCGGCGGUUGGGGAUGGACUCGCGGCUUAUCAGCUUGUUGGUGGGGUAGUGGCUUACCAAGGCUUUGACGGGUAGCCGGCCUGAGAGGGUGACCGGCCACAUUGGGACUGAGAUACGGCCCAGACUCCUACGGGAGGCAGCAGUGGGGAAUAUUGCACAAUGGGCGGAAGCCUGAUGCAGCAACGCCGCGUGCGGGAUGACGGCCUUCGGGUUGUAAACCGCUUUCGCCUGUGACGAAGCGUGAGUGACGGUAAUGGGUAAAGAAGCACCGGCUAACUACGUGCCAGCAGCCGCGGUGAUACGUAGGGUGCGAGCGUUGUCCGGAUUUAUUGGGCGUAAAGGGCUCGUAGGUGGUUGAUCGCGUCGGAAGUGUAAUCUUGGGGCUUAACCCUGAGCGUGCUUUCGAUACGGGUUGACUUGAGGAAGGUAGGGGAGAAUGGAAUUCCUGGUGGAGCGGUGGAAUGCGCAGAUAUCAGGAGGAACACCAGUGGCGAAGGCGGUUCUCUGGGCCUUUCCUGACGCUGAGGAGCGAAAGCGUGGGGAGCGAACAGGCUUAGAUACCCUGGUAGUCCACGCUGUAAACGGUGGGUACUAGGUGUGGGGUCCAUUCCACGGGUUCCGUGCCGUAGCUAACGCUUUAAGUACCCCGCCUGGGGAGUACGGCCGCAAGGCUAAAACUCAAAGGAAUUGACGGGGCCCCGCACAAGCGGCGGAGCAUGCGGAUUAAUUCGAUGCAACGCGUAGAACCUUACCUGGGUUUGACAUGGAUCGGGAGCGCUCAGAGAUGGGUGUGCCUCUUUUGGGGUCGGUUCACAGGUGGUGCAUGGCUGUCGUCAGCUCGUGUCGUGAGAUGUUGGGUUAAGUCCCGCAACGAGCGCAACCCUUGUUCACUGUUGCCAGCACGUUAUGGUGGGGACUCAGUGGAGACCGCCGGGGUCAACUCGGAGGAAGGUGGGGAUGACGUCAAGUCAUCAUGCCCCUUAUGUCCAGGGCUUCACGCAUGCUACAAUGGCUGGUACAGAGAGUGGCGAGCCUGUGAGGGUGAGCGAAUCUCGGAAAGCCGGUCUCAGUUCGGGUUGGGGUCUGCAACUCGACCUCAUGAAGUCGGAGUCGCUAGUAAUCGCAGAUCAGCAACGCUGCGGUGAAUACGUUCCCGGG
This 1343-nucleotide ribosomal RNA is filed under the name uncultured bacterium. Its description in RNAcentral is "16S ribosomal RNA". It matches the Rfam family "Bacterial small subunit ribosomal RNA", at positions 28 to 1378 of the family's 1533-position model. The record is from RNAcentral.